ACCCGGUGGAUAAAAUCGAGUUCCAACCUCUUCAACGACAACGAUUUCAACACUCUCUUCCAGGAACAACUUCCUCCAGGCAGAUGAUACUAAAGUGCUGGAGUUCCCGGUUCCUGAGAGUGAGUCCAUAUCAAAAUGCGCAUUCGUUAUCACUUGGUUGAACCCAUUUGGGGAUUUAAAUUUGGAGGUGAAAUGGAACGCGUAAUUGAUGACUCCUACGUGGAACCUCUUCUUAGGAAGAGCACGGUCGAAGAAGUAACUGCGCAGUGCUUAAAUCGUAGAUGCUAAAGUCGUUGAAGAGGACUUGGAACUUCGAUAUUAUCCCCCGUGU
Arabidopsis thaliana (thale cress) is the source of this 331-nucleotide non-coding RNA. NCBI's taxonomy places the organism in Eukaryota, Viridiplantae, Streptophyta, Magnoliopsida, Brassicales, Brassicaceae. The record is from RefSeq.